GAUCAUGGCUCAGGAUGAACGCUGGCGGCGUGCUUAACACAUGCAAGUCGAACGGAGUUAUUGAGAAGCUUGCUUUUGGUAAACUUAGUGGCGGACGGGUGAGUAACGCGUGGGUAACCUGCCUUAUACCGGGGGAUAACGUUUGGAAACGAACGCUAAUACCGCAUAAGCGCACGGGCUCGCAUGAGUCUGUGUGAAAAACUCCGGUGGUAUAAGAUGGACCCGCGUCUGAUUAGAUAGUUGGUGAGGUAACGGCCCACCAAGUCGACGAUCAGUAGCCGGCCUGAGAGGGUGAACGGCCACAUUGGGACUGAGACACGGCCCAAACUCCUACGGGAGGCAGCAGUGGGGAAUAUUGCACAAUGGGGGAAACCCUGAUGCAGCGACGCCGCGUGAGUGAAGAAGUAUUUCGGUAUGUAAAGCUCUAUCAGCAGGGAAGAAAAUGACGGUACCUGAGUAAGAAGCCCCGGCUAACUACGUGCCAGCCGCCGC
This 492-nucleotide ribosomal RNA is filed under the name uncultured bacterium. Its description in RNAcentral is "bacterial SSU rRNA". It matches the Rfam family "Bacterial small subunit ribosomal RNA", at positions 15 to 518 of the family's 1533-position model. The record is from RNAcentral.